Molecule: ribosomal RNA, 485 nt
Filed under: uncultured bacterium
Lineage: Bacteria
Description: bacterial SSU rRNA
Rfam family: Bacterial small subunit ribosomal RNA
Source: RNAcentral
AUGAACGCUAGCGGCAGGCUUAAUACAUGCAAGUCGUGGGGCAGCAUGAGUAGCAAUACUUGAUGGCGACCGGCAAACGGGUGAGGAACACGUACACAACCUUCCUUCAAGCGGGGAAUAGCCCAGAGAAAUUUGGAUUAAUACCCCAUAAUAUAUUUGAUAAGGCAUCUUAUUAAUAUUAAAGCUUCGGCACUUGAUGAUGGGUGUGCGGCUGAUUAGAUAGUUGGCGGGGUAACGGCCCACCAAGUCUACGAUCAGUAGCUGAUGUGAGAGCAUGAUCAGCCACACGGGCACUGAGACACGGGCCCGACUCCUACGGGAGGCAGCAGUAAGGAAUAUUGGACAAUGGACGAAAGUCUGAUCCAGCCAUGCCCGCGUGAAGGAUUAAGGUCCUCUGGAUUGUAAACUUCUUUUAUAUGGGACGAAAAAAGGGCAUUCUUGUUCACUUGACGGUACCAUAUGAAUAAGCACCGGCUAACUCCGUG